UGGGGAAUAUUGCACAAUGGGCGCAAGCCUGAUGCAGCCAUGCCGCGUGUAUGAAGAAGGCCUUCGGGUUGUAAAGUACUUUCAGCGGGGAGGAAGGGAGUAAAGUUAAUACCUUUGCUCAUUGACGUUACCCGCAGAAGAAGCACCGGCUAACUCCGUGCCAGCAGCCGCGGUAAUACGGAGGGUGCAAGCGUUAAUCGGAAUUACUGGGCGUAAAGCGCACGCAGGCGGUUUGUUAAGUCAGAUGUGAAAUCCCCGGGCUCAACCUGGGAACUGCAGCUGAUACUGGCAAGCUUGAGUCUCGUAGAGGGGGGUAGAAUUCCAGGUGUAGCGGUGAAAUGCGUAGAGAUCUGGAGGAAUACCGGUGGCGAAGGCGUCCCCCUGGACGGAGACUGACGCUCAGGUGCGAAAGCGUGGGGAGCAAACAGG
Molecule: ribosomal RNA, 429 nt
Filed under: Chloroflexota bacterium
Lineage: Bacteria; Bacillati; Chloroflexota
Description: Chloroflexi bacterium partial 16S ribosomal RNA
Rfam family: Bacterial small subunit ribosomal RNA
Source: RNAcentral